RNAcentral lists this unclassified non-coding RNA (382 nucleotides) under uncultured Phycisphaeraceae bacterium. RNAcentral's name for it is "contains 16S-23S intergenic spacer region". Lineage: Bacteria; Pseudomonadati; Planctomycetota; Phycisphaerae; Phycisphaerales; Phycisphaeraceae. The record is from RNAcentral.
UCCGGCUUGACGCCGGCAGUCUCGCUAGAGUACUGGCUUUCGCCGAGCAACUAACGACAGGGGUUGCGCUCGUUAGAGGACUUAACCCGACACUUCACAGCACGAGCUGACGACAGCCAUGCAGCACCUGUGCACGUUCCACCCUUGCGGGUGUGGCCCCACUUUCAUGGGGUUAAUCCGUACAUGUCAAACCCAGGUAAGGUUCUUCGCGUUGCCUCGAAUUAAGCAACAUGCUCCACCGCUUGUGUGAGCCCCCGUCAAUUCCUUUGAGUUUUAGCCUUGCGACCGUACUCCCCAGGCGGCGCGCUUAUCGAUUUUUCUACGACCGAGCCGGCGUCAGAGCCGCCCCGAUCUAGCGCGCAUCGUUUACGGCGUGGACUAC